GACGAACGCUGGCGGCGUGCUUAACACAUGCAAGUCGAACGGAAAGGCCCUGCUUUUGUGGGGUGCUCGAGUGGCGAACGGGGGAGUAACACGUGAGUAACCUGCCCUUGACUUUGGGAUAACUUCAGGAAACUGGGGCUAAUACCGGAUAGGAGCUCCUGCUGCAUGGUGGGGGUUGGAAAGUUUCGGCGGUUGGGGAUGGACUCGCGGCUUAUCAGCUUGUUGGUGGGGUAGUGGCUUACCAAGGCUUUGACGGGUAGCCGGCCUGAGAGGGUGACCGGCCACAUUGGGACUGAGGUACGGACCAGACUCCUACGGGAGGCAGCAGUGGGGAAUAUUGCACAAUGGGCGGAAGCCUGAUGCAGCAACGCCGCGUGCGGGAUGACGGCCUUCGGGUUGUAAACCGCUUUCGCCUGUGACGAAGCGUGAGUGACGGUAAUGGGUAAAGAAGCACCGGCUAACUACGUG
RNAcentral lists this ribosomal RNA (468 nucleotides) under uncultured bacterium. RNAcentral describes it as "partial 16S ribosomal RNA". It matches the Rfam family "Bacterial small subunit ribosomal RNA", at positions 28 to 507 of the family's 1533-position model. The record is from RNAcentral.